Rhineura floridana is the source of this 856-nucleotide long non-coding RNA. RefSeq lists it as uncharacterized. NCBI's taxonomy places the organism in Eukaryota, Metazoa, Chordata, Lepidosauria, Squamata, Rhineuridae. The record is from RefSeq and is a predicted model, not a curated record. The transcript has 3 exons.
AAGGAGAUACUGAUCUCCAUGUUGUGACCAUUUAUCUGCAUUUUAUUAUCACACAGUGCAGUUUGUGGCUUAUAGUUGGAGAACAUAUAUAAUUCAAGUCCCUCAAGUCUCCAGGUUGUCAAGUGACUUACAAAAUAUGUUAAAAACAAAACAAAUAUAUCAUGCUAUAAAACUAAAACAGUAAAACAACAACACCCCCAUGGAGCCACAGGAAGCUUUGGCAGCAUUAAUAACCAACAACACCAUCUCAGUCUAUCAAACGCCUGGGAAAAAGCAGGCGAACAAACGUGCACCUUUACUGCUAGCUGGAUAGAGAACACAACUGAAACUGAACAGCAGAGCAAAGGAAAGUCUAAGGGGUGGAGUCUCACUCUCGCCCAUAAUGCAAAGUUGUAAUAUUUAACUCUUCAUGAGUCAUGCUACUAUACUGCCUGGUUUUUUCAAGAUCACUUAACUAGUGAUUGUGGUCAUGAAGAAUCCAUCCUCAGUCAGGGAAAGUCUUGAGCAAGCAGACUUUGGGGGGCUCCUCCAGAAGAGGCUUUUGUUGUCCACUUGCCCUGCCUCAUUCACUGAAUUUUUCAGAGGAUCCUAUUCUUAAAUUGUUCCUGUUCUUAAAAGAAGCUAUCAUUUUUAAAGGGAGGUUGUCAUUGUCUGUCAUGUCACAAAUUUAAAAGACAAUUUCCCCAAAAAAUCUCCGGGAGGGGGGCAAGCACAGUUCUAGGGGGGUCAGUGCCCUAAUCCCCCCCGCUACAGGCCUGCUUACCAACCAUCAGAAAAACCAGCAACUGACCAUCUACAUUGUGUUACUCAUGAGGAGACCAGAUGCUUGCUUGUAACUAGGAAAUAGAUUUGAACU